RNAcentral lists this ribosomal RNA (208 nucleotides) under uncultured bacterium. RNAcentral's name for it is "partial 16S ribosomal RNA". It matches the Rfam family "Bacterial small subunit ribosomal RNA", at positions 568 to 774 of the family's 1533-position model. The record is from RNAcentral.
UGCGUAGGCGGUCAUAUUAGUCUUAUGUUAAAUCCUUAAGCUCAACUUAAGGCCCGCAUAGGAAACGGUAUGACUUGAAGAAGUGAGAGGUGAACAGAACUCUCGGUGUAGGGGUGAAAUCCGUUGAUAUCGAGGGGAAGUACCAAAUGCGAAGGCAGUUCACUGGCACUUUCUUGACGCUGAGGCACGAAAGCGUGGGUAGCGAACG